This 429-nucleotide ribosomal RNA is filed under the name Bacteroidota bacterium. Its description in RNAcentral is "Bacteroidetes bacterium partial 16S ribosomal RNA". It matches the Rfam family "Bacterial small subunit ribosomal RNA", at positions 355 to 776 of the family's 1533-position model. The record is from RNAcentral. Lineage: Bacteria; Pseudomonadati; Bacteroidota.
UAGGGAAUCUUCCGCAAUGGACGCAAGUCUGACGGAGCAACGCCGCGUGAGUGAAGAAGGAUUUCGGCUCGUAAAACUCUGUUGUUAGAGAAGAACAGCGCAUAGAGUAACUGUUAUGCGUGUGACGGUAUCUAACCAGAAAGCCACGGCUAACUACGUGCCAGCAGCCGCGGUAAUACGUAGGUGGCAAGCGUUGUCCGGAUUUAUUGGGCGUAAAGCGAGCGCAGGCGGUCAAUUAAGUCUGAUGUGAAAGCCCCCGGCUCAACCGGGGAGGGUCAUUGGAAACUGGUUGACUUGAGUGCAGAAGAGGAGAGUGGAAUUCCAGGUGUAGCGGUGAAAUGCGUAGAUAUAUGGAGGAACACCAGUGGCGAAGGCGACUCUCUGGUCUGUAACUGACGCUGAGGCUCGAAAGCGUGGGUAGCAAACAGG